GCACAGGUAGUUCAGUGGUAGAACUCCUGCCUGGUAAGCGGAAGCCCCGGGUUCGAUUCCCGGUCUGUGCA
Molecule: transfer RNA, 71 nt
Filed under: Pristionchus pacificus
Lineage: Eukaryota; Metazoa; Nematoda; Chromadorea; Rhabditida; Neodiplogasteridae
Description: tRNA-Thr (GGT) (tRNA-Thr-GGT-2-1)
Rfam family: tRNA
About the family: Transfer RNA (tRNA) molecules are approximately 80 nucleotides in length. Their secondary structure includes four short double-helical elements and three loops (D, anti-codon, and T loops).
Source: Rfam by way of RNAcentral